GACGAACGCUGGCGGCGUGCUUAACACAUGCAAGUCGAACGGAAAGGCCCUGCUUUUGUGGGGUGCUCGAGUGGCGAACGGGUGAGUAGCACGUGAGUAACCUGCCCUUGACUUUGGGAUAACUUCAGGAAACUGGGGCUAAUACCGGAUAGGAGCUCCUGCUGCAUGGUGGGGGUUGGAAAGUUUCGGCGGUUGGGGAUGGACUCGCGGCUUAUCAGCUUGUUGGUGGGGUAGUGGCUUACCAAGGCUUUGACGGGUAGCCGGCCUGAGAGGGUGACCGGCCACAUUGGGAAUGAGAUACGGCCCAGACUCCUACGGGAGGCAGCAGUGGGGAAUAUUGCACAAUGGGCGGAAGCCUGAUGCAGCAACGCCGCGUGCGGGAUGACGGCCUUCGGGUUGUAAACCGCUUUCGCCUGUGACGAAGCGUGAGUGACGGUAAUGGGUAAAGAAGCACCGGCUAACUACGUG
RNAcentral lists this ribosomal RNA (468 nucleotides) under uncultured bacterium. RNAcentral's name for it is "partial 16S ribosomal RNA". It matches the Rfam family "Bacterial small subunit ribosomal RNA", at positions 28 to 507 of the family's 1533-position model. The record is from RNAcentral.